Molecule: ribosomal RNA, 641 nt
Filed under: Leptolyngbya sp. CALU1072
Lineage: Bacteria; Bacillati; Cyanobacteriota; Cyanophyceae; Leptolyngbyales; Leptolyngbyaceae
Description: bacterial SSU rRNA
Rfam family: Bacterial small subunit ribosomal RNA
Source: RNAcentral
AUAACAGUUGGAAACGACUGCUAAUACCCGAUGUGCCGGAAGGUGAAACAUUUAUGGCCUGAGGAUGAGCUCGCGUCUGAUUAGCUAGUUGGAGUGGUAAUGGCACACCAAGGCGACGAUCAGUAGCUGGUCUGAGAGGAUGAUCAGCCACACUGGGACUGAGACACGGCCCAGACUCCUACGGGAGGCAGCAGUGGGGAAUUUUCCGCAAUGGGCGCAAGCCUGACGGAGCAAGACCGCGUGGGGGACGAAGGUUUGUGGAUUGUAAACCCCUUUUGAUUGGGAAGAAGUUCUGACGGUACCAAUCGAAUCAGCAUCGGCUAACUCCGUGCCAGCAGCCGCGGUAAUACGGAGGAUGCAAGCGUUAUCCGGAAUUAUUGGGCGUAAAGCGUCCGUAGGUGGCUAUUCAAGUCAGUUGUUAAAGCGUGGGGCUUAACUCCAUAAAGGCAAAUGAAACUGAUUGGCUAGAGUGCGAUAGGGGCAAGGGGAAUUUCCAGUGUAGCGGUGAAAUGCGUAGAUAUUGGAAAGAACACCGGUGGCGAAAGCGCCUUGCUGGGUCUGCACUGACACUGAGGGACGAAAGCUAGGGGAGCGAAAGGGAUUAGAUACCCCUGGGUAUUCAACGUAUCUCACAAAGUAUC